This is a long non-coding RNA of Herpailurus yagouaroundi (jaguarundi), 1261 nucleotides long. RefSeq lists it as uncharacterized. NCBI's taxonomy places the organism in Eukaryota, Metazoa, Chordata, Mammalia, Carnivora, Felidae. The transcript has 2 exons. The record is from RefSeq and is a predicted model, not a curated record.
CGCAGAGCCUGAUGUGGGGCUCGCUCCAUCCCGCCAUCCCUGAGAUCUUGACCUGAACAAGAAUGCAGGCUUAAGUGACUGAGCCACCCAGGUGCCCCAGGUUGGGAGUAUUUUUUGUAGCAGUUUUGGUGAAGACUUAAUGUUACUUCACUGAGUAUAAUGUUUUAUUUAAACCUACUUUUUAAUUUAAAAAUUUUUUUGUGAACAUCAAGAGAGCUUUAAACUGUUAAAAAUCCCCAGGAAGCAAAUAUUUAGGGUUUUCCCAGUGAAAACUUUUAUGCCCAGCAGCCAUUACAUGAUUAUGUCAGAGUCCUAUUAGAUAGUUGUUCUUUGAGCAUCUGCUGUCCUUUCUGAAGGUGAAAGGCACUGACGCUCUUCGUAUCUAUUGGGUUGUAUAGUUUCAUAGGGCAGGAGCAUUCAGGAGCCACCAGGCAGGCCAGCUCUUUUAGGACCUCAUUUCUCCUGUAACUCAGCACGUCACCAGAGUUGUCUACACUUUUCCAAGACAGCAGAAAAUGAACAAAUCCCAGAUGUAUCUCCAGACCCUGGAGCAUUGCUUCUCAGAGUGAGGAUCUUUGGCCAGAAAUGGCAGCGUCACCUCGAAACUUGUUUGACAUGCAGAUUGUGACCCACCAUCCCAAACCUACUGGAAGAGAACUUUUGGAGGCCAGGCCCAGCAAUCUGUGUUCUUACAGGAUGUCCGUGUGAUGGUUGAUAACACAUUAAGUUUAAGAAUCACUGGUCCAGUGUUCAGUGAUUAGUAUCUUUGAGUUACAGGAUAUUAGGAUUUCUCAUUUUUCUAGGUAAAUUGUUACUCAUCAGAAAACUGUGUCUUCUCCAGAUACAGAAGUUAUUCCUACUUCAAAUGGUUACAGACUUCACUGUUUAAUUUGUAUGUGUCUGAUUAUUGAGUUUGUGCAAAUUUCAUAAAUUUACGGUGUAUAAGUGUUCAGCAAUUUCAAGAGUGGGUGGAAUUCUUGCACACCCAUUGUUAGAAUUAUUUCUUUGUAUUCAGUGGUUUUUUAAAAAUAUACAUGUAUCUCCCCCCACCCAAGAGAGGUAGCGUGAGCUCAGGAGAGGGGUAGAGGGAGAUGGAUGGAGAGAAUCUUAAGCCGACUCCACACUCAGGGUAGAGCCCGACAUGAGCCUGGAUCCCACGUCCCUGGGGUCAGGACCACAGCAGAAAUCAAGAGUCUGAUGUUCAACUGAGCCACCCUGUAUUAUGUAUUAAUAUUUAAAUAUAUUUUUAUUUGCACUUUUU